AGAGUUGUGGCUCAGUGGUAGAGCACUUGCCUUGCAUACAUGAGGCACUGGGUUCAAUCCUCAGCACCACAU
This is a non-coding RNA of Ictidomys tridecemlineatus (thirteen-lined ground squirrel), 72 nucleotides long. The record is from Rfam. NCBI's taxonomy places the organism in Eukaryota, Metazoa, Chordata, Mammalia, Rodentia, Sciuridae.